CAGCCUAGCAUCAACACAAUCCUCUACCUUGCCAUCUUCCAGUGCUCCUCUGACCAUGUCACAAAGCACUACUACAUCAUCCUCCAUGUACUCAACAGGUCUCUUCCCAGUAACUAUCUCAAGAGCCAAAACCCCAAAACCGUACACAUCACAUUUCUCUGUUAUCUUAACAGUUCUGCAUGCAAAUUCAGGUGCCAUAUAACCGAGGGCACUCUGAAUCUUGCUGCUCAAAACAUAACGAUCCAACAUCGGUAACAACCUGGCUAAACCAUAAUCCGCAAUCUUAGGUUCACCAGAGCUGUCAAUCAAGAUGUUGCUUGAUUUUAAGUUGUAGUGGAUUAUGUUCAUUUGGUGCAAAUGAGCCAAGCCUUUAGCUGCACCCAGAAUAAUAUUGAACCUCUCGUUCCAAUGGAGAGUUUUCCCACCGGAUCCUUCAUGGAGGUGCUUGUACAAAUCUCCACCAGAGACAAAUUCAUAUAUAAGAAGCUGUAGUGAUGGAGUCCAGUAAUAACCUUCAAGUGCCACAAGAUUAGCAUGACAGACUUUCCCUAAGUUUUUAACUUCCCUUUCAAAAUCUUCUUGGGACUUGACAAGACUUGAAACAGUGAGUUUCUUAAUGGCAACAGAACGUCCAUCUUUAAGCAUAGUCUGGUAGACAGCUCCGAAUCCUCCACGCCCAAGUUCACAAUCCUUGUUAAGAAGAGCAUGUGCCCCAGUACUAAAGUCAGGAUCGCCUGAAAACAUGACAAGCUUCCCAGAAUUGCCAUCUGUGGUAGGUGACUGGCUAAAGUCGUCGCCACCAGAAAAGGUAAGGGCUGCUGCCGAGCGAGAUGUGGAGGCACGUACAUGAAGAUUAAGCACGGUGAUUGCAAUGACACCAAUGAAAAUCGAAGCAGCUGCACCAAUUGCAAUGAGGGCGGAAAUGCUUAGGAUUUUCUUUCCACGAUGAAAGCUUUGGGAGAUUGUACCCGGAGUGGCAUCCGUUGAGUUGGGAUUUAGCACAAUUGGCUUUGGAAGGACUGUAGGGCAACUUCUGUUGACUGGUGCCCCACAAAGGGAUGGAUUUUCAGAGACUGAAGAGGGAGCUAUGGUGUUAAAAAAGCCACCAGCAGGUAAUUCACCAUUUAGCUGGUUGUGUGAAAUGUUAAACGACUGCAGGUCACCAUUUUUUAUACGUAACACUGAAUAACAUUAAACAUAAAUGAGAUAACAUAUGAGAUUUGUGCAAAAUAUUUGUCAAGGGAGACGACGUAAAGAUAUGAAUACAACAAUCAAGAAAAGGACACAGAGAAGAAGAAACCAUGUGAACUUGACCUCUUCAGUGGUAAAUCUCAGUGAAACAAGUUAAAGAUUCAAAAGAUGCAUUUAAAGAAUAAUAUAAUUUCAAGCUAAAGACAUGGGAGGCCUAAUUAAUAAUUAGAGAGACAUCAUCUUAUUCCGCAUUAUUCAAUUCCGUUCUUCUGACUGUUUUUCUUACUUUAUUGUGGCUUUCUCUAUUCCCUUUAGUUUCUGCUUUCACUUUCUGCUCUAAAGUAUAUGCAUCACCACUUAGAUUAUUUGCUUGGCAAUGGCGGCCAAGAAUCUUGAAAACCCUCAGAAAAUCAAUUUACUUUUGAUCUGCCUAGAUGUGUUAUGAUCUGUAACAGUGGUGCAUGCUCAAGUGGGAGAGCCCUUCUGUGAUUGGACUAUUCUUAAAUUCAAGAUUUGCCCUUUGCCAGGCGGGCUUUUCAUCUUUCAGUAAACAGUAAACACCAAAUGGAAUGGUGAAGAAUGUUUCACAAUAGAUCUAGCAACCAACCGCACAGACGCUAUUAUUCAUACAAUGAAGAAGAAAAAAAAAAGAGAGAAUCAUCUUAAGUUAAAUGGCUUGUUAGACCAACAUGAAGCGAAAUUGAAAGGAUAACAGUAAGUGAUAAUAUCCAACAGGGUCCCAAAUUAGAACCCGGAGAAAAGGAAUCCGGUAAACGAUUGAGACUUGGAGAAGGAACUAAAACAUGGAACUAGAGUUCAAAAAUUUACGAAAACAACAUAAGCAAAAGAAUUAUAGAAAUAACUGAAUUCUCCAUUUUAAAUGAACCAAACCGGAUUCUUCUUCGCCGGAUAAGCCAAUGUGAAUUCAUCAACUCCGGACAUCUACGAGUUAGUUGAAGUCAUCCUGACUCGUCCUGACCUUCCGAAGGGCAUCUAAUUAGCUCCAAUAUGUUAACCACUUCGGCCAUGACUGGCCUGUUUGAAGGCACUUGCGAUGUGCAGAUUAAUCCUAACUUCAUCACUGGAAUUGCCUCCUCGGCCGGAAACUUCCCUUGCAGCCUAGCAUCAACACAAUCCUCUACCUUGCCAUCUUCCAGUGCUCCUCUGACCAUGUCACAAAGCACUACUACAUCAUCCUCCAUGUACUCAACAGGUCUCUUCCCAGUAACUAUCUCAAGAGCCAAAACCCCAAAACCGUACACAUCACAUUUCUCUGUUAUCUUAACAGUUCUGCAUGCAAAUUCAGGUGCCAUAUAACCGAGGGCACUCUGAAUCUUGCUGCUCAAAACAUAACGAUCCAACAUCGGUAACAACCUGGCUAAACCAUAAUCCGCAAUCUUAGGUUCACCAGAGCUGUCAAUCAAGAUGUUGCUUGAUUUUAAGUUGUAGUGGAUUAUGUUCAUUUGGUGCAAAUGAGCCAAGCCUUUAGCU
RNAcentral lists this long non-coding RNA (2682 nucleotides) under Olea europaea (common olive). Its description in RNAcentral is "long non-coding RNA (OEUR_LNC004041)". The record is from RNAcentral. Lineage: Eukaryota; Viridiplantae; Streptophyta; Magnoliopsida; Lamiales; Oleaceae.